AAUCCAUAGGUUAAUGAGGCGAACCGGGGGAACUGAAACAUCUAAGUACCCCGAGGAAAAGAAAUCAACCGAGAUUCCCCCAGUAGCGGCGAGCGAACGGGGAGGAGCCCAGAGCCUGAAUCAGCAUGUGUGUUAGUGGAAGCGUCUGGAAAGGCGCGCGAUACAGGGUGACAGCCCCGUACACAAAAGCGCAUGUGCUGUGAGCUCGAUGAGUAGGGCGGGACACGUGGUAUCCUGUCUGAAUAUGGGGGGACCAUCCUCCAAGGCUAAAUACUCCUGACUGACCGAUAGUGAACCAGUACCGUGAGGGAAAGGCGAAAAGAACCCCGGCGAGGGGAGUGAAAAAGAACCUGAAACCGUGUACGUACAAGCAGUGGGAGCACAGGUUUACCUGUGUGACUGCGUACCUUUUGUAUAA
Molecule: ribosomal RNA, 418 nt
Filed under: Salmonella enterica subsp. enterica serovar Muenchen
Lineage: Bacteria; Pseudomonadati; Pseudomonadota; Gammaproteobacteria; Enterobacterales; Enterobacteriaceae
Also listed under: 9 other names
Description: partial 23S ribosomal RNA
Rfam family: Bacterial large subunit ribosomal RNA
Source: RNAcentral